This 429-nucleotide long non-coding RNA is filed under the name Marmota monax (woodchuck). Lineage: Eukaryota; Metazoa; Chordata; Mammalia; Rodentia; Sciuridae. The record is from RNAcentral.
CUGAGUUUUCAGAACCCCUGGUCAGGCACCCUUACUGUCCUAUCCUCUAGGGACUCCGACUGGCCAUAGGUGCAGGUGUGUGCUGUUCCUUCAUCUAUAGGUGUCUUCUUUGUCUCCCUUACCAGGCCCAGCAGCCUUGUCCGUGUUGUGCUGUACUGUGCUAACUCUGCUCAGACAUCUGGCAGCAGGUUGGUCCCAUCCUGCUAUUCUGAGCCCUCUCCUGGUUGUAAUACUGCAGGCCCCACAGCCAGCUGGGAUGGUUGGACACCCUCCCUGCCAGGCAGAUACAGUGAGGACAGCUCCUAGGAAGGAGGUCUGCUGUGGGGAAAAAGAUUCCUAUAACUCCCUUGGGAGUGGCGUGAGGGGGGUGAGUCAUACUGUAGGCUCACGAGUUUCAGAGGCAUUUGGGGAGUCUGACAUUUGGGAUCU